This 87-nucleotide transfer RNA is filed under the name Salinibacter ruber. RNAcentral describes it as "tRNA-Leu". Lineage: Bacteria; Pseudomonadati; Rhodothermota; Rhodothermia; Rhodothermales; Salinibacteraceae. The record is from RNAcentral.
GCGAGACAAGGAUUCGGACGGUAGACGCGCGAGACUUAGGAUCUCGUGGGGCCUAGCCCCGUGGGGGUUCGAGUCCCCCCUUUCGCA